This 783-nucleotide ribosomal RNA is filed under the name uncultured archaeon. Its description in RNAcentral is "bacterial SSU rRNA". It matches the Rfam family "Archaeal small subunit ribosomal RNA", at positions 84 to 872 of the family's 1478-position model. The record is from RNAcentral.
UACGGCUCAGUAACACGUAGCUAAUCUGCCCUCGUGCUGAUGAUACCCUCGGGAAACUGAGGCUAAUAAUCAAUAGGAGAUUUUGGCUGGAAUGCAUUAUCUCUGAAAGCUUGCGCGAGGAUGAGGCUGCGGCGGAUUAGGUUGUUGGCGGGGUAAUGGCCCACCAAGCCGAUGAUCUGUAAGGGUUUUUAGCGGAAGGGCCCUGAGAGGGAAUCUGAGACACUAUUCCCAGCCCUACGGGGUGCAGCAGUCGAGAAACUUUUGCAAUGCACGAAAGUGUGACAAAGCAAGCCAGAGUGAUUCUCUAUAAUUGAGAAUCUUUUGUGAGAUGUAAAAAGUCUCACGAAUAAGGACUGGGCAAGACUAGUGCCAGCCGCCGCGGUAAUACUAGCGGUCCAAGUCGCAAUCACGUUUAUUGGGUCUAAAACAUCCGUAGCUUGCUAUGCAAGUCUCUUGUGAAAUCCUACAUCUUAAGUGUAGAAGUGCGAGAGAUACUACAUGGCUAGAGACCGGGAGAGGCAAGGAGUACGGAUAGGGUAGCGGUAAAAUGCGUUGAUCCUAUCUGGACUAACGAUAGCGAAGGCACCUUGCUAGAACGGAUCUGACAGUCAGGGAUGAAGGCUAGGGGCGCAAAACGGAUUAGAUACCCGUGUAGUCCUAGCAGUAAACACUGUGCACUAAACAUUGGUGCCUCCUCGAGAGGUGUCAGUGCUGUAGCGAAGGCGUAGAGUGCACUACCUGGGAAGUAUAGUCGCAAGACCGAAACUUAAAGGAAUUGGCGGA